Non-coding RNA from Pelobates cultripes (western spadefoot toad), 467 nucleotides. The record is from the annotation of a GenBank genome assembly. Lineage: Eukaryota; Metazoa; Chordata; Amphibia; Anura; Pelobatidae.
CAUCACCCCAAAGCAAGGCAGGAGCAAAACUGAGCUUAGGGAGGAAGUGACUGGAGAAGGAAUCACUGCUGAAAGUGUUGCUUCAUGGGUGGGGAUUGGCAUCCUCCAGUUAGAAGGGUCUGCAUCCCAUUUGUGAUGACUCAUGGACUCUCACCAUUUUAUGAAGGAAACGGCAGUACAGUAACAUUCAUUUGCAUGGCCAAAAACAUUGGACAGAAAGACAAAAAAGUCAAAAUAUGGCAGAAUAAUAGAAACCAGAGACCAAGGACAGGAUGGGACGGGUAUAUAAUGCUCUCAGCACACCAAAAGUUGCCUUCUCAGACCAGGUAAAGGAUAGUGAAGAUCCUCUACGCUGGUCCACAAGGCCACACUAAGAAAAGCAAAGAUUAAGAGUCACAAGUAGGAGACAAAAGGCACAAGACACAAGGGAGCAAUAAGAGACACAAAUGGGGGUUAAGACACAAACG